AGGACGAACGCUGGCGGCGUGCUUAACACAUGCAAGUCGAGCGGUAAGGCCUUUCGGGGUACACGAGCGGCGAACGGGUGAGUAACACGUGGGUGAUCUGCCCUGCACUCUGGGAUAAGCCUGGGAAACUGGGUCUAAUACCGGAUAUGACCUGCUCUCGCAUGGGGGUGGGUGGAAAGAUUUAUCGGUGCAGGAUGGGCCCGCGGCCUAUCAGCUUGUUGGUGGGGUAAUGGCCUACCAAGGCGACGACGGGUAGCCGACCUGAGAGGGUGACCGGCCACACUGGGACUGAGACACGGCCCAGACUCCUACGGGAGCAGCAGUGGGGAAUA
RNAcentral lists this ribosomal RNA (332 nucleotides) under uncultured soil bacterium. Its description in RNAcentral is "bacterial SSU rRNA". It matches the Rfam family "Bacterial small subunit ribosomal RNA", at positions 26 to 363 of the family's 1533-position model. The record is from RNAcentral.